This 228-nucleotide long non-coding RNA is filed under the name Theobroma cacao (cacao). Its description in RNAcentral is "long non-coding RNA (TCAC_LNC000426)". Lineage: Eukaryota; Viridiplantae; Streptophyta; Magnoliopsida; Malvales; Malvaceae. The record is from RNAcentral.
UCAACACUAUAAUUUUUCCUACUUGAUUCUCACAUCAUAAAUCACUAAUUCCUAACCAAAUCACUUGAAAUAAAAUCAAAAUCAUCCUCAAUAUUCCACAUGGAGAAUUCGGCCAAUGAUGGGUGAUGGAAGAACAUGAAUUUUUCUUGCUUGAUUUUCAUGCUACACAUCACCAAUCAACUAAAAACACUAAAAUACAUUGAAAUCUAACCAAAUCAAGCAUCAAAA